AGGGGAUUAGUUUACAAGGUUAAAACCUCGGUCUUUGAAAUAGAAGAAGUUGGUUCAAUUCCAACAUCCCCCG
RNAcentral lists this transfer RNA (73 nucleotides) under Phage NBEco004. RNAcentral's name for it is "tRNA-Gln". It matches the Rfam family "tRNA". From Rfam's summary of the family: Transfer RNA (tRNA) molecules are approximately 80 nucleotides in length. The record is from RNAcentral. Lineage: Duplodnaviria; Heunggongvirae; Uroviricota; Caudoviricetes; Andersonviridae.